Non-coding RNA from Triticum urartu, 672 nucleotides. Lineage: Eukaryota; Viridiplantae; Streptophyta; Magnoliopsida; Poales; Poaceae. The record is from RefSeq and is a predicted model, not a curated record.
UUAUUUUUCUCUUCGUUCGUUUAUUUGAUAGGCCACAUUGCAGGGAGAACAUGGGUUUAUUUUGCUCUUUCUACUUUUGAUAGGUAGGGCACAAUGUUUCUGUUUCAUUCAUGCCUUUGUUGCUGACGAUACUGUUGUGUAAAUUGAACAUUGAUGUUCAAUGUUAUCACAAGAUUUACACAAACUGGAUUUUUGAUCCCUUGGGAUGCUGCAGGUGCGGACAAUCUAAUACCAAAGGACUUGGCCCUCAAAAUUGCAACCAAGAUUAGAGCUGGCGAACGAUUUGCAGUUUAUGUAGUCAUACCAAUGUGUCCUGAAGGAAUCCCUACCUCAGCCUCUGAGCAAGAUUUUUUUCUUUUAGGCACAUUCGGGCAUGAUGGGAUUCCAGUCCACUCUUCUGGCAAGACCCUCCUGGUGAACGAGCGUGGCGUCCUCAUGGAGAGCCUGCAAAUGGGGGAAUUUUACUACCUAAUUCUUCGCUUCUUGUGCUGCAUCCAACAAGAUGAAUGAUUCUAAUGAACAAGUACUCAUAUCGAUCUAAUUAAUCAGCUCCAUAUCUAGCCGGUUAGAAGAAUGAGGGUUUCUGUAUAUGUAUGAAAGGAAACCAAGGAAGCUUGCAUUUCUGAUCAAGCUUCAAUGAGUGCUAGUGUUCUUGCUUUCCAUGUUGAUGUA